Rosa chinensis is the source of this 3102-nucleotide RNA transcript. RefSeq lists it as uncharacterized. Lineage: Eukaryota; Viridiplantae; Streptophyta; Magnoliopsida; Rosales; Rosaceae. The transcript is spliced from 15 exons. The record is from RefSeq and is a predicted model, not a curated record.
AGGCUUAAUUAAUGUAGCCGUCAUUUGUUAUUAACUAUGUCUGGCACUGCUGCAGCACAUCACCACCUCAAAUGGCUUAACAAAUUAAUUCAGAAUGUCACUUUUGAUUGUCAGCACCGCUUCACCACUGCACACUAUACUUGCUAACUGUUCUCUUUCUUUAUUCGUGAACAUUAAUUUAUCCUUUUCAUUUCAGGCAUCAUUGUGUCUCCACCGCCGAGCCUUGCUGCCAAUCUUUCAGAGCUCUGCCUUCUGACUCUUUUGUUCCUUUUUGUUUGCAAGUUACAGAGAGGGAUUAAAAACAACUAUUAAAGGAAAAACGCAGGGAUGUUUAUGCUUUGCUUUUCUAUCUACUGGCGGUUGGAAGUGGCCUUUUGAUUGGUGGAUUAGAGGCUUCAGAAGAGGAAGAUAUAUGCAUGUUUGGAGAGCGUCCUUGUAGAGGAAGUGUUUGAACAAUUGAAGCGUACAACAGAGGGUCUGAAAUUUGAGGAGCAUUUAGUUUCAACAAUCACUUCAAGAUAAAUCCAAGUGUUCAGAUAGUUGGAAGCAAUGGGUUCCAAGAACAAGGAAAAAGCUGAAAGAGAUAAAAAGUCAAAGAAAGAAGCUGAUUUGGAGACUUGUUCUGAGGCUGACAAGGUGGAUGAUAAGAAAGCAGAAUCUGAAUCUGCAGAGACCAUCACAAGCAUCGAAUCAACUAAAAGAAGAGGGAAGCGAAGUGUGGUGGAAAUGUAUAAGGUUGUGAUCAAGAAGGCUUUGGGAAAAAAAUUUAAAGUGACAUACACCGACACGGGGAAUCCCAAUGGACGAGUACGACACACUUUGCAAUCAUAUAUAGGGAUGCUAGCGCGGAAAAUGGUGCCCAUUAACAUUGUAAGCUAGCUCGAAGUAGACGGUGAAUUGAAAGAUAAAAUUUGGAUCGACGUCUAGGAUACAUUCAAAGUGGCCCCUGAAAUCAAGAAAUUGGUGUUGACAUCUGCUGGCACAAAAUGGAGACAAUUCAAGACCAACUUAACAAAUAAGUAUGUGCUGCCAUACUUAGGAAAGAAGAAGAAAUUGAGAAAGCCACCAAAGCAGUAUGCAUUCGUUGGGUUGCAUCCAUGGAAGGAGUUUGUAAGUCAGAGGACUACAGAGGCAUGGCUGAAACUUCAUAAUGACCAAAGUAAACGAGUCAAGAAGAGAAAAUACCAUCAUAGAUUAUGAAGAAAGGGAUAUAUUGGACUAGAGGAGGAAUCGGAGAGGUUAUUGACCGUGCAAUUCUAUGGAAGAAGGCCCGUGUACUUAAAAAUGGGGAGAUAAGUGAGGAGGUGACACUGAUUGCAACAAAGAUAGAUGAAUUGAUGGAGAAGAAAAGGAAGGGUGAGCUAGAAAUUUCAGGGAGUAGUGAUGUAUUAUCUCAAGCACUAGAAACUCCUAAACAUUCGGGUAGGGUAAGGGGUGUUGGAGGCUUCGUAAAUCCGUCUACCUACUUUAAGCUUCCAAAGCAGAAAAGGGUGAGAAUUACUAAGGCAAAAUUACUGGCACGUGAUAGAGAGCGUGAUCGGGAGGUGGAGGAGACAAAGAAAAUAAUUCUUGAAAAACAAGCAAAGGCAGAAGAGCUAUUACAUAAAAAGAUUGCUCAAUUAGAAGCAUUGAUAACAGAAAAGGCAACCUAUACACCAUAUUCCCCUAUAUCAGAUAAAGGCAGUUUCCAUGAUAAAGAAAAGAAAAGGCCAAUUUAUCUUGAUGUUGACAAGGUGCAAGAAAAUGUAGAUGAUUGGUGGCACCUGCGAGUUGGCAGUGAAUACCAUCAGCAACAUAGUUGCUUUUGGUACCGUAUUCGAUGACGCGGAUAUUAACAAGACGAUACAUGGAGCUCCAUUGAAGGAGGGGUGUGUUAGAGUGUCGGUGGAUGGUGAGAUUCAAGGCGAUGCACCAUUACCUUUCCCUAUAAUGGGUGAGAUGGAAUUUGUUCGAGAAGCGGUUGGAAGUCACAUGGCUUGGCCUGAGGAGUUUGUUAUUCGAAGACAACCAGUGAAGAAAAAGAAAAGAAAUAUGGAUUUCGUCAAAUCAAUGUUCAAUAAAGUUGAGCUUCCUCCAUUUGUGCCCAAGCGCUGUAAGUUAUUGUACAAACAUGCCACAACAAUCAUGAAACAAACUAGUGAGGCAAUAACCACAGUGUUGGAUGACAAUGUCUUUGGCAUACACAAAGAACUCUUCAUCUUGACUGAGAAUGUGAUUGAUCUCUUAGAAAUGAAAAAGAUUGGCCAAGGAGUGAUAGCAGCAUACAUGGUGCAACUACAUGAACUUAUUACUGAACAAGACGAGUUGGAAACUUUUGCCUUUAUUGAUCCUGCUGCUACAUAUAAUUGCGAGAGAUCAGACUUUAGUUCCUACUUAGUGAAUCGGUUGAAAGAAGGAAAGGCUGAUCGCAUAUUCUUUAUGUCCUACAAUCCGGGGGAACAUUGGAUAUUGACAAUCAUAUGGGAGGAUGAAAUCUACAUCUUGGACCCUUUGGGAAAAUCAAUCCAUUACCAAGCAUGGGAGAACUCUAUGAUAAAUCCAAUUAAAAGUUUCAAUGCUGAAACGGGUAGGGCUAACAAGGUGCCGAAAUUGAAACUACUUCCGGUUAGUAUGAUAUAUGUGAUUGAUUAAGUUACAAUAUUCUAUUUAGUAUGAACUUUCUAAUUCAAUAAUGUAAAUAAACAUGGCGUACCUAAACAACCGGGUGGAGUUGAGUGUGGCUAUUGUGUAAUGCGAUACAUGAAGGACAUUAUAAAUGAUGACACGCUUUCAUUUCCGACCAAGUGGGCAGCGAAGACUCGGAAAGUAUACACCCAAGUUGAACUUGACGAGGUCCGCAUUGAAGUAGCUGACUAUUUGCAGACUUUGCUAUAGAUGCUAACUCUACCAAAGUGAUUUUGAGUAAGGCUAGCUAGAUUUUGUAGAACCAUUUUGAAGUAGAACAUUGUACAGUUGCAGGUGAACUAAACUGCAUAUAGUUAUUGCAAUGGUCUAUUUUGGGCUAGCCUUGAUGUAGGUUGGGGUGUGUUUGCCUAUUUUUGGAACUAUUAACAAUUCUGCUGUUUGACAGAAAUUAAUGCAAUGCCUCAUAUUCAAUUAAUU